RNAcentral lists this ribosomal RNA (127 nucleotides) under Cystobasidiomycetes sp. RNAcentral's name for it is "partial large subunit ribosomal RNA". The record is from RNAcentral. Lineage: Eukaryota; Fungi; Basidiomycota; Cystobasidiomycetes.
UGGGAAAAGCUCAACUUUGUAAUCUGGCAGCUUCGCUGUCCGAGUUGUAGUCCCGAGAAGUGUUUUCCGCGCUGGAUCGUGUAUGAGUCUGUUGGAAUACAGCGUCAUAGAGGGUGAGAACCCCGUU